AGAUGAAAUCUCACCAUGUUGCCCAGGCUGGUCUUGAACUCCUGCACUCCAGUGAUCCACCUGCCUCAGCCUCCCAAAGAGCUGGGAUUACAGGCGUGAGCCACCGUGCAAGCCCUACAAUUUUAAAUACUUAAAUGUGGUUAAUGAACUCAAAUCUGCAUGUCUGGUGAAAAUGCCAAGGUUAGUGCUACCCCCAAAAGAUGUGAACGAUGCAGGGCUGGUGAUCCCCAGCACAGCCCCCACCUGACUCCCUAGCUGGGCGAGGCGCAAGGCGGGCAUCCUUGGAGAACGCCUGUGGAUUUUCACAAAGCUCAGCAGGUGGCUAUUCCAACUGCACCUGCUGCUACUGAUGUGACAUAUUUUCCAGAGCAAAUUGACAUGACCCCUGGCACCUGGAGUGAGCCAUUGGCCUGGAAAAUGCUUUUCUCCCUAUAAUCAUUCACAAGGAUGGGGCUGCUGGGCAUGUGGGGCCCUUGCCCAGAUAUCCUCAUCCAUGUCCUCAGCAGCACCUUCAGGCAGGAAGAGCGGGAGUCAGACAUAGGACUCUCCUCCAGGUUCAAGACCACGACCAGCCCAGCCCGUGCAAAGUGCAGGUUAACCUGGGCAGUAGCAGUCACCCGUGGAAUCAGUGCCAGAACUCUGUGCAAGGGAAGCUCCUCAUCGUGGAUGAACCAGGCUAUGUUUGCGAGAGGAGGGAUUUGCUGGUGCAGGGCUGUAACGUCCACAGCCCUAGUGUGAAGCAGUGCUGCUGUGACGGCUGCUGGCCAUGUCUCUUGCUGCCUGCAGCCCAGCCAGGAGCUUCUCCUGGAGCAUCGUGGUGUUCCAGAACCUCUUCAUGGCAGUCGAAGAUCAGUAUUGAGUCAUGUCCGGCCAAAUGCAGGACCUCAUCCCAGGGCCUCAUCCCACCGAUUGGGACCCCAUUGCGAAGAAUUGCUAUGGAGAAAGCCCACCCGAGCUCUUCCCGGCAUGGCGGGUGCAGCGGAUGCUCUCCAGCUUGGGCGAGGAGCUCAUCUCCUGGGGCCCAGCUGCAGCACUCAGGCCAGGCCAUGGGAAGAAGACAAAGGCAGCGCAGGGAAACCUUGGCUUUGACCACCUCUCGUGUUGUCAUCUUUGGCCUCUGUGAAGCAGCUUGGAAAUUCCAGCUGGUCCCAUCGGGGAAGGAAGAAACCACAGCGAGGCUCCGGCAGUGCUGGUUCUUGGAGGACUGGACGCUGGGACCUGCACAGGGACCUGUGACUCAGGCUUGUCAGGGGCCAGGUGUCACUGCCAGUUUUGAUCCAGGCCCCUUCACUGUAAAAUUAUUUAUUGGAUUCCUUUGGAGUAGUGGGAAAAUUAUAAUGUUUUAUGUAGGAGAAUGCCGUGUCAUUCUAGCUGAAAAUGUUCAAGGAAAGUAUUUUUGUUGUUCUCGUGUUCUCAAGUUUCAUGAGUUAAAUCAUCCCUUCACCCAGAUAAAA
Molecule: RNA transcript, 1454 nt
Organism: Homo sapiens (human)
Lineage: Eukaryota; Metazoa; Chordata; Mammalia; Primates; Hominidae
Gene name: SREBF pathway regulator in golgi 1 pseudogene
Exons: 2
Source: RefSeq, marked validated